This 443-nucleotide ribosomal RNA is filed under the name uncultured bacterium. Its description in RNAcentral is "partial 16S ribosomal RNA". It matches the Rfam family "Bacterial small subunit ribosomal RNA", at positions 338 to 795 of the family's 1533-position model. The record is from RNAcentral.
CCUACGGGUGGCAGCAGUGGGGAAUAUUGGGCAAUGGGCGCAAGCCUGACCCAGCAACGCCGCGUGAAGGAAGAAGGCUCUCGGGUUGGAAACUUCUUUUAGCAGGGACGAAGGAAGUGACGGGAGCGGAUGAAUAAGCAACGGCUAACGACGAGCCAGCAGCCGCGGUAAUACGUAGGUGGCAAGCGUUAGCCGGAUUUACUGGGUGUAAAGGGCGUGUAGGCGGGAAAGCAAGUCAGAUGUGAACACCAUGGGCUCAACCUGUGGCCUGCAUUUGAAACGGUUUUUCUUGAGUACUGGAGAGGCCGUCGGAAUUCCUAGUGUAGCGGUGAAAUUCGUAGAUAUUAGGCGGAACACCAGUGGCGAAGGCGGUCUGCUGGACAGCAACUGACGCUGAGGCGCGAAAGCGUGGGGAGCAAACAGGAUUAGAUACCCUUGUAGUC